CCUACGGGCGGCAGCAGUAGGGAAUAUUGCUCAAUGGGGGAAACCCUGAAGCAGCAACGCCGCGUGGAGGAUGAAGGUUUUCGGAUUGUAAACUCCUUUUGUUAGAGAAGAUAAUGACGGUAUCUAACGAAUAAGCACCGGCUAACUCCGUGCCAGCAGCCGCGGUAAUACGGAGGGUGCAAGCGUUACUCGGAAUCACUGGGCGUAAAGAGCGCGUAGGCGGGAUAGCAAGUCAGAUGUGAAAACCUAUGGCUUAACCAUAGAACUGCAUUUGAAACUGUUAUUCUAGAGUAUGGGAGAGGUAGGAGGAAUUCUUGGUGUAGGGGUAAAAUGCGUAGAGAUCAGGAGGAAUACUCGUGGCGAAGGCGACCUGCUAGAACAUAACUGACGCUGAUGUGCGAAAGCGUGGGGAGCAAACAGGAUUAGAUACCCUAGUAGUC
Molecule: ribosomal RNA, 440 nt
Filed under: uncultured bacterium
Lineage: Bacteria
Description: partial 16S ribosomal RNA
Rfam family: Bacterial small subunit ribosomal RNA
Source: RNAcentral